RNAcentral lists this ribosomal RNA (1340 nucleotides) under Pselaphacus signatus. Its description in RNAcentral is "eukaryotic LSU rRNA". It matches the Rfam family "Eukaryotic large subunit ribosomal RNA", at positions 70 to 1139 of the family's 3401-position model. Lineage: Eukaryota; Metazoa; Arthropoda; Insecta; Coleoptera; Erotylidae. The record is from RNAcentral.
UAGGAUUCCCUCAGUAGCUGCGAGCGAACAGGGAAGAGCCCAGCACCGAAUCCCGCGGCCGACUUCGGACGCCGGGAAAUGUGGUGUUAGGGAGGAUUCAUCAUCUCGAGGUCGUGCGGCGCGUCCAAGUCCUUCUUGAACGGGGCCACUGCCCAUAGAGGGUGCCAGGCCCGUAGCGACCGCUGCCGAUCGCGAGAGAAUCUCUCCUCAGAGUCGGGUUGCUUGAGAGUGCAGCCCUAAGUGGGUGGUAAACUCCAUCUAAGGCUAAAUAUGACCACGAGACCGAUAGCGAACAAGUACCGUGAGGGAAAGUUGAAAAGCACUUUGAAGAGAGAGUUCAAGAGUACGUGAAACCGUUCAGGGGUAAACCUGAGAAACCCGAAAGGUCGAAAGGGGAAAUUCAUUCGCGUUUCGACGAAGGCUGGGUAUGGUCGCGAGACGUGCGACGUUUACGUUGUGCGCUCCUUUCGUACCCUGAUCCGGCGUCGAACGCGUGCAUUUUUCCCCUAGUAGGACGUCGCGAUCCGUUGGGUGUCGGUCCAAGGCCCGUGGUGGAGCCCGUUCGGCGGUUCGCCGUCGGACGGACCCGCGGUGUUUCCCGGCCGACUCGCUCGACGGUAAUCAGAUGGCGCGGGGCCGCGACUUUAGUUCGCGUCCGGCUUACGACAAGCGCGUUCGGUGUGCUGGCGAUCGGAGUUAGUGCCGUUCCUGGCCCCGGACGACUGUUGGUCGUGAUGUUCUCGGACAGUCUCCGUUGAAACGCCGAUCUGCGACGCUAUAGCUUUGGGUACUUUCAGGACCCGUCUUGAAACACGGACCAAGGAGUCUAGCAUGUGCGCGAGUCAUUGGGACAUUACUAAACCUAAAGGCGCAAUGAAAGUGAAGGUUCGCCUUGCGCGGACCGAGGGAAGAUGGGCGGUUCACUAACUUAAGUGGCCGCUCCGCAUUCCCGGGGCGUCUCGUUCUCAUCGCGAGAAGAGGCGCACCAAGAGCGUACACGCUGGGACCCGAAAGAUGGUGAACUAUGCCUGGUCAGGACGAAGUCAGGGGAAACCCUGAUGGAGGUCCGUAGCGAUUCUGACGUGCAAAUCGAUCGUCGGAACUGGGUAUAGGGGCGAAAGACUAAUCGAACCAUCUAGUAGCUGGUUCCCUCCGAAGUUUCCCUCAGGAUAGCUGGCGCUCGUAGCGCACGAGUCUCAUCCGGUAAAGCGAAUGAUUAGAGGCAUUGGGGUCGAAACGACCUCAACCUAUUCUCAAACUUUAAAUGGGUGAGAUCUCCGGCUUGCUUGAACUUAUGAAGCCGCGAGACACGGAUCAGAGUGCCAAGUGGGCCAUUUUUG